This 616-nucleotide ribosomal RNA is filed under the name uncultured bacterium. Its description in RNAcentral is "bacterial SSU rRNA". It matches the Rfam family "Bacterial small subunit ribosomal RNA", at positions 338 to 955 of the family's 1533-position model. The record is from RNAcentral.
CCUACGGGAGGCAGCAGUAAGGAAUAUUGGUCAAUGGACGCAAGUCUGAACCAGCCAUGCCGCGUGAAGGAUUAAGGCCCUCUGGGUUGUAAACUUCUUUUAUAGGGGACGAAAAAAGGGCAUUCUUGCUCACUUGACGGUACCCUAGGAAUAAGCACCGGCUAACUCCGUGCCAGCAGCCGCGGUAAUACGGAGGGUGCAAGCGUUAUCCGGAUUUACUGGGUUUAAAGGGUGCGUAGGUGGGUUGGUAAGUCAGUGGUGAAAUCUUCGAGCUUAACUCGGAAACUGCCAUUGAUACUAUCAAUCUUGAAUCAUCUAGAGGUAAGCGGAAUAUGUCAUGUAGCGGUGAAAUGCUUAGAUAUGACAUAGAACACCAAUUGCGAAGGCAGCUUACUAUGGAUGUAUUGACACUGAGGCACGAAAGCGUGGGGAUCAAACAGGAUUAGAUACCCUGGUAGUCCACGCCCUAAACGAUGGAUACUCGACAUUUGUGAUAUACUAUAAGUGUCUGAGCGAAAGCAUUAAGUAUCCACCUGGGAAGUAACGACCGCAAGGUUGAAACUUCAAAGAGUUAGUUAGGCGNGNGAGAGCGACGACGACGACGACGGAGGAGGAG